Molecule: ribosomal RNA, 2210 nt
Filed under: human gut metagenome
Description: bacterial LSU rRNA
Rfam family: Bacterial large subunit ribosomal RNA
Source: RNAcentral
CUUACGUUUUGUGGCGAGCUUAACCGAGUAGGGGAGGCGUAGCGAAAGCGAGUUCGAAUAGAGCGAAGAGUCUCAAGGCGUAGACCCGAAACCAGAUGAGCUAUCCAUGGCCAGGUUGAAGGUGUGGUAACACACACUGGAGGACCGAACCGACUAGUGUUGCAAAAUUAGCGGAUGAGCUGUGGAUAGGGGUGAAAGGCUUAACAAAUCUGGAGAUAGCUGGUUCUCCCCGAAAACUAUUGAGGUAGUGCCUCGUGUAUUGCUCCAGGGGGUAGAGCACUGUUAUGGCUAGGGGGACAUGGCGUCUUACCAAACCAUGGCAAACUCCGAAUACUUGGAAGUAAGAGCACGGGAGACAGAGCACCGGGUGCUAACGUCCGGACUCAAGAGGGAAACAACCCAGACCGCCGUUUAAGGUCCCAAAUAUUGACUAAGUGGAAAACGAAGUGUGAAGGCUAAGACAGUCAGGAAGUUGGCUUAGAAGCAGCCAUCCUUCAAAGAAAGCGUAAUAGCUCACUGAUCGAGUCCUCAUGCGCGGAAGAUGUAACGGGGCUAAGUCAAUAACCGAAAGCGCGGAUUUGCAUGAAAGUGCAAGUGGUAGGGGAGCGUUCUGUAAGCCUGCGAAGGUGGUUCGAGAGGACUGCUGGAGGUAUCAGAAGUGCGAAUGCUGACAUGAGUAACGUUAAAGCGGGUGAAAAGCCCGCUCGCCGUAAGCCCAAGGUUUCCUGCUCUACGUUCAUCGGAGCAGGGUGAGUCGGCCCCUAAGGCCAGGCUGAGAAGCGUAGUCGAUGGGAAGCAGAUUAAUAUUUCUGCACCAUGUGCAAGUGCGAUGGGGGGACGGAGUGCGAAAGAUCAUCCGGGUGUUGGAUGUCCCGGUUUGUGAGUGUAGAAGGCCGACAGGCAAAUCCGUCGGCGGAUCUUCGAGACAAAGCAUCGAGGUUCUACGGAACCGAAGUGAUCGGAAGUGCUUCCAGGAAAAGCCUCUAAGCUUCAGCUUGUACAUGACCGUACCGUAAACCGACACUGGUGGGCGAGUUGAAUAUACUCAGGCGCUUGAGAGAACUCGGGAGAAGGAACUCGGCAAAUUGACACCGUAACUUCGGGAUAAGGUGUGCCUUUGUAGCGUGAAGAGAGAAACACUCGGAGCGUGAAGAGGCCUCAGAGAAUCGGUGGCUGCAACUGUUUAUUAAAAACACAGCACUCUGCAAAGACGAAAGUCGACGUAUAGGGUGUGAUGCCUGCCCGGUGCUGGAAGAUUAAGUGAUGGGGUGAGAGCUCCUGAUCGAAGUCCCAGUAAACGGCGGCCGUAACUAUAACGGUCCUAAGGUAGCGAAAUUCCUUGUCGGGUAAGUUCCGACCUGCACGAAUGGCGUAAUGAUGGCCAGGCUGUCUCCACCCGAGACUCAGUGAAAUUGAACUCGCUGUGAAGAUGCAGUGUACCCGCGGCAAGACGGAAAGACCCCGUGAACCUUUACUAUAGCUUGACACUGAACAUUGAGCCUUGAUGUGUAGGAUAGGUGGGAGGCUUGGAAGUGUGGACGCCAGUCUGCAUGGAGCCGACCUUGAAAUACCACCCUUUAAUGUUUGAUGUUCUAACGUUGACCCGUGAUCCGGGUUGCGGACAGUGUCUGGUGGGUAGUUUGACUGGGGCGGUCUCCUCCUAAAGAGUAACGGAGGAGCACGAAGGUUGGCUAAUCCUGGUCGGACAUCAGGAGGUUAGUGCAAUGGCAUAAGCCAGCUUGACUGCGAGCGUGACGGCGCGAGCAGGUGCGAAAGCAGGUCAUAGUGAUCCGGUGGUUCUGAAUGGAAGGGCCAUCGCUCAACGGAUAAAAGGUACUCCGGGGAUAACAGGCUGAUACCGCCCAAGAGUUCAUAUCGACGGCGGUGUUUGGCACCUCGAUGUCGGCUCAUCACAUCCUGGGGCUGAAGUAGGUCCCAAGGGUAUGGCUGUUCGCCAUUUAAAGUGGUACGCGAGCUGGGUUUAGAACGUCGUGAGACAGUUCGGUCCCUAUCUGCCGUGGGCGUUGGAGAAUUGAAAGGGGCUGCUCCUAGUACGAGAGGACCGGAGUGGACGCACCACUGGUGUUCCGGUUGUGUCGCCAGACGCAUUGCCGGGUAGCUAAGUGCGGAAGAGAUAAGUGCUGAAAGCAUCUAAGCACGAAACUUGCCUUGAGAUGAGUUCUCCCUGUCUUUAAGACAGUAAGGGUUGU